UACGUAGGGUGCGAGCGUUAAUCGGAAUUACUGGGCGUAAAGCGUGCGCAGGCGGUCUUGUAAGACAGAGGUGAAAUCCCCGGGCUUAACCUGGGAACUGCCUUUGUGACUGCAAGGCUCGAGUGCGGCAGAGGGGGAUGGAAUUCCGCGUGUAGCAGUGAAAUGCGUAGAUAUGCGGAGGAACACCGAUGGCGAAGGCAAUCCCCUGGGCCUGCACUGACGCUCAUGCACGAAAGCGUGGGGAGCAAACAGG
RNAcentral lists this ribosomal RNA (253 nucleotides) under uncultured bacterium. RNAcentral's name for it is "partial 16S ribosomal RNA". It matches the Rfam family "Bacterial small subunit ribosomal RNA", at positions 524 to 776 of the family's 1533-position model. The record is from RNAcentral.